CAUCCAACGCGUUGGGAGCUCUCCCAUAUGGUCGACCUGCAGGCGGCCGCGAAUUCACUAGUGAUUACCGCGGCUGCUGGCACGGAGUUAGCCGGGGCUUUCUUGGUCAGGUACCGUCAUUAUCUUCCCUGCUGAAAAGGGCUUUACAACCCUAAGGCCUUCAUCACCCACUCGGUAUUGCUGGAUCAGGCUUUCGCCCAUUGUCCAAUAUUCCCCACUGCUGCCUCCCGUAGGAGUCUGGGCCGUGUCUCAGUCCCAGUGUGGCUGAUCAUUCUCUCAAACCAGCUACAGAUCAUUGGCUUGGUAGGCCAUUACCCUACCAACUACCUAAUCUGGCGCGGGCUCAUCCAUCAGCGAUAAAUCUUUCCUCCAAAGAGAAUAUACGGUAUUAGCAAUUAUUUCUAAAUGUUAUUCCGUACUGAUGGGCAGAUUCCCACGUGUUACUCACCCGUCUGCCACUAAUUUAUUUAAAGCAAGCUCUAAAUAAAUCCGUUCGACUUGCAUGUGUUAAGCAUACCGAAAGCGUUCGUUCUGAGCCAUGAUCAAACUCUAAUCGAAUUCCCGCGGCCGCCAUGGCGGCCGGGAGCAUGCGAC
RNAcentral lists this ribosomal RNA (594 nucleotides) under uncultured Alphaproteobacteria bacterium. RNAcentral describes it as "partial 16S ribosomal RNA". Lineage: Bacteria; Pseudomonadati; Pseudomonadota; Alphaproteobacteria. The record is from RNAcentral.